UUUGGUUACAGAUAGCAUAACGAAAGGACCAUGGGGUCUGGACAGACAGUGGCUCGAGUCCCAGCUCUGGCUGUCACCGGCUUCAAGACCUUAGGCCAGCUCCCCACUCUUCGGAGCCUCAGUUUUGCCAUCCAUAAAAUACAGGCAGAAAAUAUCUACCUUACAAGCAAAGUCUCAAGUACCAAGGGAAGGCAACUCUGCACCCGAGCUGCUGUUUUGAGCCAGAAGCCACGAGAUGUCUCUAAACAACGAGAACUGCUCUAGUCAUGGAAAGAAUGCGUCGUAAAUUCCAGUGGAAAAGAUGGAAACCUUUUGUUUAGAUGGGGCACAAGUCAUUAUCAUUUUACUUCAGAUUGUUUUACAGUGUUAUAGAAAGGGCCAAAUCAGCCAUAACCAAGACCUGCUAACCCUGAGGACCUCACGUAUCUUAUUUCUUAGUAAAUAUUGAAAGGAGUUCUGUAACUCAUUAAUUAUCCUUAAUGAAUAAUGGUGACUUGCCCUUAUAUUUUGUUUUCCCCUCUUGAUGCUGAAACCAUGAAACCAAAUGCAAAAGCUUGGACACUUUGGAAAAAGACAAUAGCAAUUAUGUGGGCUACUGCUGUCCAAACAUAGCAGCAUUCGUUAAUGGCACUGUGGCUCUCUCAAGUUACCGAUUAAGCAUUAAAAAUAGAAACAUGGC
Macaca mulatta (Rhesus monkey) is the source of this 679-nucleotide non-coding RNA. Lineage: Eukaryota; Metazoa; Chordata; Mammalia; Primates; Cercopithecidae. The record is from RefSeq and is a predicted model, not a curated record.